Papaver somniferum (opium poppy) is the source of this 3440-nucleotide long non-coding RNA. RefSeq lists it as uncharacterized. The record is from RefSeq and is a predicted model, not a curated record. Lineage: Eukaryota; Viridiplantae; Streptophyta; Magnoliopsida; Ranunculales; Papaveraceae. The transcript is spliced from 5 exons.
UGCCCUUCAAAAUCCUCUCUCUCUCUCUUUCUCUGGUUCCUCCUCCGAAACCCUAAUUUCCCAGAAAGAUUGAUUUGAUUUGUUUAUUUCAACUUCGAAUCAUCGCUUCAUCUCUGGUUCACACUCUAUAGAAAACAAACAUUAAUUCAAGCAUGAACUCAAAAUGAAAAUUAGAAUCUGAAAUCGAAGAAGAAGAAGAAGCAUUCAGGAAGAGAGAUGUACCCAUGAAAUCCAUUUCAAGGUUACCCAGUGAAUUCAUCAUUGCUUCUAUGUAAGUCUGUUUGCAGAAAUUGAUUAUGCCCUUAUUUUCUAACCCUGAUUCUUGUUAAAAUUAUACCCCCUUAAUCUUACUAUCCAGAGAAAUUUAACCCUAUUCUCAUUCUUCAAGGUUAUUACAGUAAUCAACUUUACUCCAUAGGUUAUGAAUCAUUAGGGUGUGCAAUUGAAAAUGUUGCUUUCCAAAGAUUUGUCCUCAUUUAAAUCUUUAGAUUAUGAUGUUCUAUUGUUGGGGUUCAUGUAAUGGUCUGGUUUGGAUAUGGUUGUUUCAUAUUGCUGGUAGUGGUGAUGGGGAAUUUUCUUGUAUUUGGAACCAAAAGAAUAUAAAGAAAUACCUAAGUUACAUGUAGAGUUUGAAGGCACAAGUGCAUUUGGUUACGAUUACAAGACUGGUGAUUACAAGUCGGCAAUAGGUGCAGAAAGUUGUGGAAGAAAGGGUAGUAUUCUACUCCAGGUCUAUACGUUAGCAUCAAAUUCAUGAAAAACUGAGAUCAUCAUACCAUUUUUUUUUUAAUGGGCAAGCAUCUGGGUGCUUGUUAAAUCCAAUGUAUAUGAUUUUGUUGAAGAAUAAGGAUCCGUUGAUGGCUCAUCUGAUCUGGAGAGAACAAAGAUUGCUUAUGGGGGACUGUCAUGGAAGUAAAGUAUCUAAGAGGUAAAUCCAUAUGGGAGGUGAAGGGGAACCAAAGAAGCUCUUCUACUUGGAAAGCAAUGCGUCAUUGCAGAGAGGGCAUUAAUGAGCACUGCAUUUGGAGUCUUGGUAAUGGUGAGAGGAUACAUGUGCUAAAAGAUCCUUGAAUGAGUCAAGAACGACUUACCUCAACUCAAAGAAGAUGCAACAGGUGGAAUAUCCAACAAAGUGAGUGAUUUAAUCUUGAAAAACCCCACCCGAUGGAAUGAAUCUCUGACUACAGAUAAAUUAUUGGAGGUUUCUUGUGUGUUGUGGGCCAUAUGGAAGUUAAGGAAAAAAGUGUUUUAACAACAAAAACUAGAACAUUAAGAGUAUCAUCAAGGAAUACCCCGCUUGACUUGGAUGUGAACCAGUGUAUUUCUCCAGCUGAGAAGAAAAGGAAAAGUGGAAAGUGGUGACUUGAACUGGACGAAACUGAAUGUGGAUGCUGCUUUUGACAAUUUCCAUGGAGGCGGGGCUGUGCUGGCAAGGGACUCUAGUUCUACAUUUCAGGGCAGUGGUACCAGUAAUCAAGCUGUCCUAAGUCCUCUGGAAGCUGAAGCUAGGGCUGUCCUCCUGGCUACUGAGAUGGCUGUAUUGCUUAAAAUGUAAAAAGUUAUCAUAGAGACUGAUGCUGAGAAAGUUGCUAAGAUGUUGACCGAAGAAAAUAGACCUAUCCCGUGGAGGAUCCAGCACAUUCUAUACCAGAUUAAAGAUGGGUUGCGGAAGCUCAAGGAGGUCACAUUUGCGUUCAACCAAAGAGGUGGGAGUGUUGUUGCCGAUUAUUUGGCAAAAUAUUCCUUAGCAAACCACUCGAAUGUCUGGUGGUUCUCUUCUACCCCCGUUCCAUUAUUUCAGAGCUGUGUUUGUCUGAGAGUAGAACCUCUUAGUUACUGUGGUUUCUUCUUUGUAGCAGGGGGGAAAAAAGGAUCCGUAGAUGGAUCUGGGAGUGUUGAAAGGGUGCCUUUGCGUACUUUACAACUCAUAUGUGAAUUAUGUUAGGAUUCAUUUUGAAAUAUGGGAGAUGCUGAAUUACGGAGUUCAAGAAUCUUGGACUAGAUGCUAUAUCAUUAUUAGUCAUGAGAGCACUUUUAAGGAUUUCACUCUGAUGUGGUCUUUGGAGAAUGGCAAGAUUCUAUUCUUGACUUCUGGUAGCCUAGUUUUGUAUGACAGGGAACAUGACAGUGCUAGAGAACUAAGUAUGCAUAAAUAUUGCUUUGAGGUCAGCGUGAAUUAUUUCGAAAGCUUAGUUUCUCUCAAAGAAGGGUGGAUAGAGGAAUUAAGCCUAGUUUUGUAUGACGGGUACUUCGUUGCAGAGAAGGGUGGAUAGAGGAAUUAAGAGAAACCCGAAGAAGAAGAAGCUCUAAGUGCAAUAAAAACAGAGCUUGAGUAAGCUUUUGCCAGGGUUUAUAAAUAUAAGAUGCCCUUUACAGACCUGCAAUCUUUCUACACAGUACCUUUAUGCUUUCGGCUCAAUAUAGAAGCAGAUAUAGAAGGACCCUGAAUGUUUGCUGGAAGCAUUUGGGCUCAUCUUAUAGUAAUUAAAUUUGAGAAACUACAGUGUCUGUGGAGUUUGGAAUGCUGUUGGAGUUGUGGUUUGAUCUAUUAAUUCUGUAAGAUGCUCCAGCUUUUUGGCAUAACAAGCAUUAUAAACUGCCUACAAAAGUAACUUUUUGUGAAUUAUUAUCACUGCAUACAAGAAGCAUUAUAAACUGCGUAUUAGCUAGCUCCAACUUCCUUGGAACUUAGUUUUAGUAGCACAGGAAGCAUUAUAAACUGCCGCUUCUUCGGCAUCUCCCUGGUUGAAGAAACUCAAUUCUAACUUUCAGGUAAGGAAAUAUAUGAAGACUAGUGAGCAACUUUCUCAACUCAAAAUGAAAUGAACACUCACAAGUUGAUUCAGGUGCAGUGCACUAAACAAUAGCGUGUUGGAUUCAGAUUUUAGAACUUAACUGCAGUCUUGCCAACAAUUAUUUAUUUCUCUGAGAUUAGUGAUCUUGAUGCUUCUGAGGUUAAGCUUCAGAAAAUUUAAUAGUUUAUAAGAGUUACCCGACUGGGAGAAAGUAUGCAGUUGUGAUGGAGAAGCUUUGGUAAGAAAGUAGCCUUACUAUUUCAUAAGCAAUUAGCAUUUUAGGAUUUUCAUGUUGCAUUGCUGAUAAAAUAUGGUUUCCUCUAAAGAGUUACAGGUGGAAACGUUGGACUACUGCUCUCAAGCGGGGUCUGUAGUAAAUAGUCGCAACGUUUAAGUUACACUUUAGAGGAGCCAAGGUUCUCCUCAAUUGACUAACAGUAAAAUAGUCGCAAAGAUUUUCGGUUUGACUUGGUUUCGUUGCUGAGUUUUUGGGACCAAUUUUAUAGUAUUUGUUCAUGUAUUUCAAUUGAUAUAUUUUUUUAUAAUGUAUGCAUUCUUUUAUUUGGUAAUUAGAUGACCUAGUUAAAAUUUACUAGUAAAUUUAAAAAUGAUUUAUCUCUCAAACUGUACAACGGAUUUUUGUAA